UAGGGAAUCUUCCACAAUGGACGCAAGUCUGAUGGAGCAACGCCGCGUGAGUGAAGAAGGUUUUCGGACCGUAAAGCUCUGUUGUUGGUGAAGAAGGAUAGAGGUAGUAACUGGCCUUUAUUUGACGGUAAUCAACCAGAAAGUCACGGCUAACUACGUGCCAGCAGCCGCGGUAAUACGUAGGUGGCAAGCGUUGUCCGGAUUUAUUGGGCGUAAAGCGAGCGCAGGCGGAAGAAUAAGUCUGAUGUGAAAGUCCUCGGCUUAACCGAGGAAUUGCAUCGGAAACUGUUUUCUUGAGUGCAGAAGAGGAGAGUAGAACUCCAUGUGUAGCGGUGGAAUGCGUAGAUAUAUGGAAGAAUACCAGUGGCGAAGGCGGCUCUCUGGUCUGCAACUGACGCUGAGGCUCGAAAGCAUGGGUAGCGAACAGGAUUAGAUACCCUGGUAGUCCAUGCCGUAAACGAUGAGUGCUAAGUGUUGGGAGGCUUCCGCCUCUCAGUGCUGCAGCUAACGCAUUAAGCACUCCGCCUGGGGGAGUACGACCGCAAGGUUGAAAC
This 554-nucleotide ribosomal RNA is filed under the name uncultured bacterium. RNAcentral describes it as "partial 16S ribosomal RNA". It matches the Rfam family "Bacterial small subunit ribosomal RNA", at positions 355 to 900 of the family's 1533-position model. The record is from RNAcentral.